GCCGCCGUAGCUCAGCUGGCAGAGCGCCGGACUCAUAAUCCGGAGGUCCCGGGUUCAAAUCCCGGCGGCGGCACCA
RNAcentral lists this transfer RNA (76 nucleotides) under Pyrolobus fumarii 1A. RNAcentral describes it as "tRNA-Met (CAT) (tRNA-Met-CAT-1-1)". It matches the Rfam family "tRNA". Rfam says of the family: Transfer RNA (tRNA) molecules are approximately 80 nucleotides in length. Their secondary structure includes four short double-helical elements and three loops (D, anti-codon, and T loops). The record is from RNAcentral. Lineage: Archaea; Thermoproteati; Thermoproteota; Thermoprotei; Desulfurococcales; Pyrodictiaceae.